GUUCAAGAUGCUUGUGCCAUAUGUUUAAGUUCAACCCAUUUUACUACUAAUUGCCCAGCUAUCUAUCAAUUUUUUGAACUUGUGCAAGAGCAAAUUUACUAAGCCCAAAUCCAGACUGCUUCCAGACCAGGUAAUAAUCCAUACUCAAACACUUACAAUCCUGGUUGGAGGAAUCAUCCAAAUUUUUUUUGGAAACCUCAACCUUUAGUUAACCCG
RNAcentral lists this long non-coding RNA (216 nucleotides) under Elaeis guineensis (African oil palm). RNAcentral describes it as "long non-coding RNA (EGUI_LNC071018)". The record is from RNAcentral. Lineage: Eukaryota; Viridiplantae; Streptophyta; Magnoliopsida; Arecales; Arecaceae.